UGGGGAUUUUGGACAAUGGGCGAAAGCCUGAUCCAGCAAUGCCGCGUGUGUGAAGAAGGCCUUCGGGUUGUAAAGCACUUUUGUCCGGAAAGAAAUCCUUGGCUCUAAUACAGUCGGGGGAUGACGGUACCGGAAGAAUAAGCACCGGCUAACUACGUGCCAGCAGCCGCGGUAAUACGUAGGGUGCAAGCGUUAAUUGGAAUUACUGGGCGUAAAGCGUGCGCAGGCGGUUUGCUAAGACCGAUGUGAAAUCCCCGGGCUCAACCUGGGAACUGCAUUGGUGACUGGCAGGCUAGAGUAUGGCAGAGGGGGGUAGAAUUCCACGUGUAGCAGUGAAAUGCGUAGAGAUGUGGAGGAAUACCGAUGGCGAAGGCAGCCCCCUGGGCCAAUACUGACGCUCAUGCACGAAAGCGUGGGGAGCAAACAGGAUUNGAUACCCUGGUAGUCCACGCCCUAAACGAUGUCAACUAGUUGUUGGGGAUUCAUUUCCUAGUAACGUAGCUAACGCGUGAAGUUGACCGCCUGGGGAGUAC
RNAcentral lists this ribosomal RNA (533 nucleotides) under uncultured bacterium. RNAcentral describes it as "partial 16S ribosomal RNA". It matches the Rfam family "Bacterial small subunit ribosomal RNA", at positions 356 to 883 of the family's 1533-position model. The record is from RNAcentral.